This is a long non-coding RNA of Coregonus clupeaformis (lake whitefish), 201 nucleotides long. RefSeq lists it as uncharacterized. The record is from RefSeq and is a predicted model, not a curated record. NCBI's taxonomy places the organism in Eukaryota, Metazoa, Chordata, Actinopteri, Salmoniformes, Salmonidae. The transcript is spliced from 3 exons.
CAAUCAUCAUCACCAUCAUCAUCAUCACCAACAUCACUCAACAGAUCUGGUACCUCAGUGGUCAUCAUGGUGUCUGUUAGUCUGGUAGUGUUGCUGCUGGUGAUCAGCCUGAUCAUAGUCUACAGAUGGAAAUACAACAAGGCCACAGGAUCUGUCUCUUCAACACACAGAGUGAGCCCAGCCAAAGGGAACAACAAAGGG